GACAGAGGGGGCAAGCGUUGCUCGGAAUUACUGGGCGUAAAGGGCGCGUAGGCGGGAUGGCAAGUCGGUCGUGAAAUCCCUCGGCUCAACCGAGGAACGUCGAUCGAUACUGCUGUUCUUGAGGAUUGCAGAGGAGACUGGAAUUCCCGGUGUAGCGGUGAAAUGUGUAGAGAUCAGCAGGAACACCCGUGGCGAAGGCGGCCCCCUGGGCCGAACCUGACGCUGAGGCGCGAAGGCUAGGGGAGCGAACGGG
RNAcentral lists this ribosomal RNA (253 nucleotides) under uncultured bacterium. Its description in RNAcentral is "partial 16S ribosomal RNA". It matches the Rfam family "Bacterial small subunit ribosomal RNA", at positions 524 to 776 of the family's 1533-position model. The record is from RNAcentral.